Molecule: ribosomal RNA, 433 nt
Filed under: uncultured bacterium
Lineage: Bacteria
Description: partial 16S ribosomal RNA
Rfam family: Bacterial small subunit ribosomal RNA
Source: RNAcentral
AGCGAACGCUGGCGGCAGGCCUAACACAUGCAAGUCGAACGGAUCCUUCGGGAUUAGUGGCGGACGGGUGAGUAACACAUGGGAACGUGCCCUUUGGUUCGGAACAACUCAGGGAAACUUGAGCUAAUACCGGAUGUGCCCUUCGGGGGAAAGAUUUAUCGCCAUUGGAGCGGCCCGCGUCUGAUUAGCUAGUUGGUGAGGUAACGGCCCACCAAGGCGACGAUCAGUAGCUGGUCUGAGAGGAUGAUCAGCCACACUGGGACUGAGACACGGCCCAGACUCCUACGGGAGGCAGCAGUGGGGAAUCUUGCGCAAUGGGCGAAAGCCUGACGCAGCCAUGCCGCGUGAAUGAUGAAGGUCUUAGGAUUGUAAAAUUCUUUCAGCGGGGACGAUAAUGACGGUACCCGCAGAAGAAGCUCCGGCUAACUUCGUG